AUCGUUUCGAGCCGCUCUAGUUACAUGUGAUGCUAGAGGGUAACGAAACGACA
This is a microRNA precursor of Gadus morhua (Atlantic cod), 53 nucleotides long. NCBI's taxonomy places the organism in Eukaryota, Metazoa, Chordata, Actinopteri, Gadiformes, Gadidae. The record is from Ensembl.